AUAUUCUGGCUUGUUUUCAGGUCACAUAAAUUUUUCACCUUUUACUCAAGAUUCCUGUGGAGAGGAAAGACUCUGACUUUUUAGCUAAUUUUUUGAGGUCUUCCUUUGGCAGGGCU
Small nuclear RNA from Gorilla gorilla gorilla (western lowland gorilla), 116 nucleotides. Its record names the gene U5. It matches the Rfam family "U5 spliceosomal RNA". From Rfam's summary of the family: U5 RNA is a component of both types of known spliceosome. The precise function of this molecule is unknown, though it is known that the 5' loop is required for splice site selection and p220 binding, and that both the 3' stem-loop and the Sm site are important for Sm protein binding and cap methylation. NCBI's taxonomy places the organism in Eukaryota, Metazoa, Chordata, Mammalia, Primates, Hominidae. The record is from Ensembl.